AAUCUGUGGUGGGGAAAUUUUUGAAUCAACAUUUUGAAGCAUUCCCACACCUCAUAAAAGAUUUCUCCUUCAUUCUGUCUAAAGACAACAAUCUCUCUUCUUAAUAGGACU
RNAcentral lists this small nucleolar RNA (111 nucleotides) under Gossypium hirsutum (cotton). Its description in RNAcentral is "Plant small nucleolar RNA R71". It matches the Rfam family "Plant small nucleolar RNA R71". Rfam says of the family: R71 is a member of the C/D box family of snoRNAs containing the C (UGAUGA) and D (CUGA) box motifs. Multiple nearly identical copies of this snoRNA have been identified in Arabidopsis, and it is thought to function as a 2'-O-ribose methylation guide for 18S ribosomal RNA. Lineage: Eukaryota; Viridiplantae; Streptophyta; Magnoliopsida; Malvales; Malvaceae. The record is from Rfam by way of RNAcentral.